GACGAACGCUGGCGGCGCGCUUAACACAUGCAAGUCGAGCGAGAACCUUCCUUCGGGAAGGGGAAAGCGGCGAACGGGUGAGUAACACGUGGGUAAUCAACCCUUGGUACCGGGAUAGCCCGAGGAAACUCGGAUUAAUACCGGAUGGCCCAACAGCUUUUCGGGGCGGUUGGGAAAGGUAGCUUCGGCCUCCGACCGAGGACGAGCCCGCGGCGGAUUAGCUUGUUGGUGAGGUAACGGCUCACCAAGGCGACGAUCCAUAGCUGGUCUGAGAGGACGAUCAGCCACACUGGGACUGAGACACGGCCCAGACUCCUACGGGAGGCAGCAGUGGGGAAUCUUGCGCAAUGGGCGAAAGCCUGACGCAGCGACGCCGCGUGGGGGAAGAAGGC
This 392-nucleotide ribosomal RNA is filed under the name uncultured bacterium. RNAcentral describes it as "bacterial SSU rRNA". It matches the Rfam family "Bacterial small subunit ribosomal RNA", at positions 28 to 415 of the family's 1533-position model. The record is from RNAcentral.